RNAcentral lists this long non-coding RNA (1161 nucleotides) under Zea mays. RNAcentral describes it as "long non-coding RNA (ZMAY_LNC005771)". The record is from RNAcentral. Lineage: Eukaryota; Viridiplantae; Streptophyta; Magnoliopsida; Poales; Poaceae.
AGUGGCGGAACUUUGCUCACGACAGGACUAGGGCCAUUCGAAAAAAAUUUAGCACAGACUAAUUGACAGAUAAGAAUAAGUACCUAAUCGAUGAAGAAUUAUUGUAUUUGUUCCACUUAGCUUCUUGUUUCUGCAUCAACAAUCGAAUCAGACCGCAGACCUACGUAAAAAAUGAACACAAGUUAUAUAUAUAACAAUUUUAAGACCGUGUCAAACUUCAAUUAUUUAAUAAACUGAACAUACCAUUAACACUAGUAGCCUGAUGUUGUUUAGGCAACAUUUUCAUGCGAGACUUCAUUUCUUGAAACUGGUAUAAAACCUUAUCAUUUGGAAUACUUGAAAAAAUGUCUCGUUCAAUAUAGCAUACCAUCCUAUGAUUGAGCCAGUCACUCCCCAUCUUAUUCCUCAAAUCAGUCUUUACAAUUUUCAUCGCUGAGAAAGCUCUUUCAACUGUGGCAGUAGCAACCGGCAAAAUCAAAGCCAACUCAACAAGACGAUAGACCAAAGGAAAUGUUAUAUGUCUAUCAGUCUGCACCAUCUUUAUAGCAAGAUCUCCAAGGUCAUUGCAACAUGUAAAACUUGCAUCCGCCCUUGCAUCAUUAACAAACAUCUCAAGUUGGUUGCGAAGGACAAUGCAAUCAUAUUGGGUGAAGUCAACAACAUAAAUUUGAGCAAGUUCCAUUAAUUUAUCUUCAUCAAAGUUUGCAAAAGAAUUCCGUGGGUCUAAACAAGCAAUGCAUCUCAAUAGUUGAGUGGACCUUUCAGCAAAACGAUUAUCUACAACUACAAUAAUAAAAAAAAGAGUGUAGAAUUGAGAGACAAUAAAAUAAACCAACUUUACUUAAACUGUUGAUCCUGACCUGAAGGGUGUGCUGUGCGUGUAGUGCAGCAGUAGCCAGACGCAGGAAGCAGACGCAGCCACGUAGGAAAGUAGCCAGAGCAGGAAGCAGGAUCCUGACCUGAAGGGCUGGUUGCUGGGCACUGGCCGAGUGGCCGAUGGGCAGGCAGCACACGCCAGACGCAGCAGGCUGGAGCUUCGUCGUUUGCUUUACGGCGGUGUCGCCGGCGGACGGAAACUAAUCGCGAUCAGCAGGGGUAGGGCAAACGACGGUACGGACGCUAUAGAAUAAUGGGCCGGAAUAAUUAAGAAGAGUACUAAUA